Molecule: ribosomal RNA, 253 nt
Filed under: uncultured bacterium
Lineage: Bacteria
Description: partial 16S ribosomal RNA
Rfam family: Bacterial small subunit ribosomal RNA
Source: RNAcentral
UACAGAGGUCCCGAGCGUUGUUCGGAUUCAUUGGGCGUAAAGGGUGCGUAGGCGGUCUUCUAAGUUUGAUGUGAAAUCCCGGGGCUCAACCCUGGAAUUGCAUUGAAUACUGGAGGACUAGAGUACCGGAGAAGGAACUGGAAUUUACGGUGUAGCAGUGAAAUGCGUAGAGAUCGUAAGGAAGACCAGUGGCGAAGGCGAGUUCUGGACGGUGAACUGACGCUGAGGCACGAAGGCCAGGGGAGCAAACGGG